AAGUGCAGUUUCAUGCAACUCUACACUUGUGUGCAUUUGCCGGCCUGUUGCCACCUUGCU
Molecule: transfer RNA, 60 nt
Filed under: Eutreptiella gymnastica
Lineage: Eukaryota; Euglenozoa; Euglenophyceae; Eutreptiales; Eutreptiaceae
Source: RNAcentral